AAAACAAGCAUGACAAAGGUCGUCUUCGAAUAAUCCUUUCUUUGAUUUUAAGCCCAGGGUCAA
RNAcentral lists this non-coding RNA (63 nucleotides) under Heterosigma akashiwo. Lineage: Eukaryota; Raphidophyceae; Chattonellales; Chattonellaceae. The record is from RNAcentral.